UACGUAGGGGGCAAGCGUUGUCCGGAAUCAUUGGGCGUAAAGCGCACGUAGGCGGCCCUGUAAGUCCGUUGUGAAAGUCAAAGGCUCAACCUUUGAAUGCCGAUGGAUACUGCAGGGCUAGAGUCCGGAAGAGGCGAGUGGAAUUCCUGGUGUAGCGGUGGAAUGCGCAGAUAUCAGGAGGAGCACCAAUAGCGAAGGCAGCUCGCUGGGACGGUACUGACGCUAAGGUGCGAAAGCGUGGGGAGCGAACAGG
RNAcentral lists this ribosomal RNA (253 nucleotides) under uncultured bacterium. RNAcentral describes it as "partial 16S ribosomal RNA". It matches the Rfam family "Bacterial small subunit ribosomal RNA", at positions 524 to 776 of the family's 1533-position model. The record is from RNAcentral.